CCAUUGAACUAUAAAUAAACUGGAAGGCUAACUGCUAUGAUGAAGGCCUAUGAUUUGAUGAAGCCAAAAUAGUUUUUCUGAGUUAUGAGCAGAAAUACUUGACCCCAAACGUCGGGCUACAUAUCAAAUUGAAGCUAUUGAAAAUUGCUAUUCGGUGUGGAAAUUUCAAGACUUCAGCGAAAAGAAAAAUCUUUAAAAAAUACAAAAACAACUGCAAAACGGCAAAUUAUCGGUAAUUAUGUUUGUAGUUUUUCAAUAUUUCCCUUUUAGCUAAAGUCUUGAAAUUGCUACACCAAAUAGAGUUUUUCAAUAGCUUCAAUUUGAUAUAUAGCCCAACGUUCAGUGUUGAGUAUUUCUGCUCAUAACUCAGAAAAACUAAAAUGCACUGGCUUCAAUUUCC
This is a non-coding RNA of Paramuricea clavata, 400 nucleotides long. NCBI's taxonomy places the organism in Eukaryota, Metazoa, Cnidaria, Anthozoa, Malacalcyonacea, Plexauridae. The record is from the annotation of a GenBank genome assembly.